RNAcentral lists this ribosomal RNA (636 nucleotides) under Triticum aestivum (bread wheat). Its description in RNAcentral is "partial small subunit ribosomal RNA". Lineage: Eukaryota; Viridiplantae; Streptophyta; Magnoliopsida; Poales; Poaceae. The record is from RNAcentral.
AUGAAUUUGAUUGAGUUUCCCUUACUUGACCAAACAAGUUCCAAUUCUGUUAUUUCAACUACACCAAAUGAUCUUUCGAAUUGGUCAAGACUCUCUAGUUUAUGGCCCCUUCUAUACGGUACCAGUUGUUGUUUCAUUGAAUUUGCUUCAUUAAUAGGCUCACGAUUUGACUUUGAUCAUUAUGGAUUGGUACCAAGAUCAAGUCCUAGGCAAGCAGACCUAAUUUUAACAGCCGGUACGCAAAUGCCUGAACCAAAAUACAUCAUUGCUAUGGGAGCCUGUACUAUUACAGGGGGAAUGUUCAGUACGGAUUCCUAUAGUACUGUUCGGGGAGUUGAUAAGUUAAUUCCUGUGGAUGUCUACUUGCCGGGCUGCCCACCUAAACCGGAGGCAGUUAUAGAUGCCCUAACAAAACUUCGUAAGAAGAUAUCGCGAGAAAUAGUUGAGGAUCGAACUCUAUCUCAAAAUAAAAAUAGAUGUUUUACUACCAGUCACAAGCUUUAUGUUAGGCGCAGUACUCAUACAGGAACUUAUGAGCAAGAAUUGCUCUAUCAAUCACCAUCUACAUUAGAUAUAUCUUCUGAAACUUUUUUCAAAUCCAAAAGUUCAGUACCUUCCUACAAAUUAGUGAAUUAG